CACAUAAGCAAUGACUAAAAGUGAGGUGUCUAGCUUUAAAAAAAAAAAAAAAGAAAACAGGUUGAAAGAGACAUUUCUUUCCCAAAUGAACAAGAAUUUAACUCCAAGAAUACCACUAAUUGUUAAAGGUGAUGCUUUUUAGCUUGCAACUUCUUUUCCUCUUACUAACAAAUCAUAAUACAGAACUCAGUAUGCUGGAGAAGGUUGUCAAUUAUUAGAGUUAACAUAUGUGUAGAAAUGUCUGCUAAACGGAUGUUUAUAGGACUUGAAAAAAGCUGCUACUUUUUAGAAGACUCGUGAUUUGAAAGUCAAUAUCCACGGAAGAUCCAUAUCUUUGCUUUUAACCUUCAGUGACCACAGCCAUGUACUACCAAAAGAUAAUUCAUGUUUUCAGUCUCAAACAACUUAAGGGUAAUGGAGCAGAGAAGUACAAAGGAACUGGAGACUAAAUACAACCUAAAGCCAUGUAGGAUGUAAGACAAGUGCAAAGUGAAAUUCAGAAAGAAAAUGAUAAAGAGGAAGUAAAGCUCAAUGGGGAGAACUGGGAGAAGAUCUCGGCAAGGAACUUCAGCCUAUUUGCUCUGUCCUUUACCACUGGUGUUCGCACAAACCUGUGUGAUUAGCUCACAAGGUCAUUCAGUCUGGCUACUAUGCCAGCAACAGAGUGAGGCAAGAAUCCCUGAAUUGCACCUAGUCAUCUCUGAUUUUAGGCUUCGUCCACAAAAGGCAUUCCAUGGAACAAAACCCAUCACUGCAAAUCCGAAUGUUUAUAAGAAACUGAAAAAGAAGCAAAUGGCUAGCUAUGAAUUUGAUGCACAGUCCUGUUUAAGGAAGAUGGUCAUCACUGAAAUAUCCCUGGCACCUCUGAAAAACAGACCUAUUCAUAAGUAUCUGUCAAGCACAGAAGAGAGCACGAAGUCCAGAUCAAGAUGACAAUGUCAGCGAAAAGAACUUGACUACUUCUUUGCUAUGGCCUUGCCUCCUGCAGGGCCACUAAUAGGGCUUGUAAAGAAAAGAAGGAAGAAAUAAAGUGUGCACUAGGAAAACCUCUAA
Non-coding RNA from Peromyscus maniculatus bairdii (prairie deer mouse), 1053 nucleotides. The record is from RefSeq and is a predicted model, not a curated record. NCBI's taxonomy places the organism in Eukaryota, Metazoa, Chordata, Mammalia, Rodentia, Cricetidae.